UCACUGUGUACGUUACAGCAC
This 21-nucleotide microRNA is filed under the name Marchantia polymorpha subsp. ruderalis. Lineage: Eukaryota; Viridiplantae; Streptophyta; Marchantiopsida; Marchantiales; Marchantiaceae. The record is from RNAcentral.